This 391-nucleotide ribosomal RNA is filed under the name uncultured bacterium. Its description in RNAcentral is "bacterial SSU rRNA". It matches the Rfam family "Bacterial small subunit ribosomal RNA", at positions 28 to 421 of the family's 1533-position model. The record is from RNAcentral.
GACGAACGCUGGCGGCGUGCUUAACACAUGCAAGUCGAGCGGUAAGGCCCUUUCGGGGGUACACGAGCGGCGAACGGGUGAGUAACACGUGGGUGACCUGCCCUCAGCUCUGGGAUAAGCCCGGGAAACUGGGUCUAAUACCGGAUAUGACUCCAUGACGCAUGUUGUGGGGUGGAAAGCCUUGUGCGGCUGAGGAUGGGCCCGCGGCCUAUCAGCUUGUUGGUGGGGUGAUGGCCACCAAGGCGACGACGGGUAGCCGGCCUGAGAGGGCGACCGGCCACACUGGGACUGAGAUACGGCCCAGACUCCUACGGGAGGCAGCAGUGGGGAAUCUUGCGCAAUGGGCGAAAGCCUGACGCAGCGACGCCGCGUGAGGGAUGACCGGCCUCGG